ACCUCCGGGAAGUUGGCACCGCACUUUGAAGUUAGAAAAAUUUUAAGGGUUGUUCCAGGUUGUUCUAGGUUUGUUCUAUAUUGUUCCAAAAUAUCGCGUCCGAAAAAAAUUUAUUUUCCACAAAAUUCG
Colias croceus (clouded yellow) is the source of this 129-nucleotide long non-coding RNA. RefSeq lists it as uncharacterized. Lineage: Eukaryota; Metazoa; Arthropoda; Insecta; Lepidoptera; Pieridae. The record is from RefSeq and is a predicted model, not a curated record. The transcript has 2 exons.